CAGAGUUCGUGCCCUUACGGGUAGAUCUCCCACCCUGUGUUAUCGUUACCUUUGUUGCUUUGGCGGGCCGCCCGGCCUCGGUCAGGCUACCGGCUCACGCUGGUAAGCGCCCGCCAGAGGACCCAACUCUUGUUUUUAGUGAUGUCUGAGUACUAUAUAAUAGUUA
This 166-nucleotide unclassified non-coding RNA is filed under the name uncultured Helotiales. RNAcentral's name for it is "sequence contains ITS1". Lineage: Eukaryota; Fungi; Ascomycota; Leotiomycetes; Helotiales. The record is from RNAcentral.